CCAGCUGCUGCCUCUCCACCGCUGAUGGCUGUUUGUUCCAGGUAGACCAUGAUGAAAAUUUAGUUCUUUUACACGCAUCCCCUGCUUGCGAUCACCCCGACUGUCGGCACGAUGAACCUCCUUUACCCUCAGUUCCCAGGCCCAGAGUAAAACUUGGAUUCCCUGCUCGAGGAACCCCUCCUCCAUUGCGCGUCCGUUCCGCUCUCCCUUGCUUUGCUCUGGCUCCUUACUGGAAUACAGGUGUUCGCUAGGACUCUUUUUGUUGUAAUUUUGCCUCCUCUUCUUGCUCACUAGUACUAGCUCUAUCGCCACCCCACGUUCCUUCUUACAAACAACUCCUCCCCUUUGGCGGCAUUUCUUCGGCGAUUUAUUCAUAGGUGUAUGGACACGAGCUGCCUGCCUGCCCGCGCCGUAGCUAGGUAGGGAGGAAGGAAGGGAGGAAGGGAGUGGGAGAAAGGAACUGGGGACUGACUGAUUCUUGAUGGGAAACGUCAAGAGGAAAACCUGUCAUGGCAACCAUGAAAAAUAACAGGGGUUUCCUGCACAGAGACGAUGGCAGGGUUAUCUUGCACUUUGACUAUGACUCCUUCUACGCCUCCGUAUUCGAAGUGGAAAACCCCGCGCUGAAAGCAGUGCCACUGGCCGUCCAGCAGAAGCAGAUCGUCGUCACGUGUAACUAUGAAGCGCGCCGGCGCGGCUUGCGCAAGUUGCAACUGAUCAAGGAGGCGAAGAAGGUGUGUCCGGACGUGGUGAUCGUGCCGGGCGAGGAUUUGACCAGGUUCCGCGAUGCGAGCAAGGAGAUCUAUACGUUCCUGAAGGGGUAUGUGUCGGGCUGGGGCGGGAGGGUUGAGAGGUUGGGGUUUGAUGAGGUAUUCUUGGACGUCACCUCUUUGGUGGACUACAACAUCGAGCUUCUCAACUACAAUGACCUAUCCAGCUCCUUCUUCCAUCUUGACAAGACAGACCCCACUCAGGGCUUUGCAUACGAUGCCCGCACAGUAUCGGGGCCUUCUUAUCCCCCAUCUCACCAAUCCGAUGAUGGCUCAGCCCCAUAUGCCACAUCAGACUCUCAGACACAUCCGUUCUCACCCAGUAGCAAAGACAAUGCAAAUAGCAACGCACUAUGCCAACGCCUGAUCCUUGGUUCGCAUCUAGCGGGCUACAUCCGCACCCAACUCGAGGAACACAAAGGUUACACAGCCACAGUGGGCAUCUCCACCUCCAAGCUUCUAGCAAAGCUUGCGGGAAACGUCCACAAGCCGCGGAACCAGACGACUCUUCUGCCUCCGUAUGAUUCCACCGAUGAGUGUGGCGCUUGUGCUGACGACGACGACGACAACCACAACGACAUCGACAUCGACAUCGAAAAUGACAAUGACAAUGACAAUGCUGACAAAGAACACGCCCAUGCCCAACAGGGCACCAUCACCCGUUUCCUCGACGCCCAUGACAUCAGCGCAAUCCCGGGCAUCGGUUUCAAAAUCGCCCAGAAGAUCCGCGCGCACAUUCUCGGCCGCCAGCCUACAUCGGGCAUGUACGAACAGCUCUCGAAAGAGGACCACGUCACCGUCAGAGAUGUCCGGCUAUAUCCGGGCAUGUGUCCGCGGAUGCUGAAUGAGAUACUACUAUCGCCGUCUUCCGGCGGCAUCAGCAGUGGAAGUGUCAGCGGCAGGGCCGGGGCCGGCGGAACAUGGCCUAGGGAUAUCGGAAUGAAGGUCUGGGGAUUACUUCAUGGGAUCGACCCGAGCCUCGUGGCAGAGGCUAGAGCUGUCCCCACGCAGAUCAGCAUUGAGGAUUCGUAUGGCGUUGGGAGGUUGGAGGGGUUAAAUGUGGUGCGAUUAGAGCUGGUGGCGCUGGUUCGGAGUCUUCUUAGGCGCAUGCUUGUGGACUUGACUGAGGAGGUUGAAGAGGAGGAAGCACAAGGAGAAGAGGAGGCAGAAGCAGAAAAAGCGGAGGAGGAGGAUGUUGCUGAAAGAACAAAACCGACGAAGAGACGAUGGCUUGCGCACCCGCGCACACUUCGGCUGUCGACACGCUCACGCCUUCCCCCGCUCACUGACGGGACGCGCGAUUUCAGCGCGGGGCGGGUGUCGAGGUCCUGUCCUCUACCGGCGUAUGUGUUCGCUUCGCUGCUUAACAUUGGCAAUAUUAGCCAUGGUCCUCGGAAUCAUCAGAGCCAUGAUAAGAGCGGUGGUGAUGGCUAUGGCAAUGACAACAAAGCCGUUGAUGGCAGGAGCUAUAGCAGGGGAGGAGG
RNAcentral lists this small RNA (2254 nucleotides) under Histoplasma capsulatum. RNAcentral's name for it is "hypothetical RNA". The record is from RNAcentral. Lineage: Eukaryota; Fungi; Ascomycota; Eurotiomycetes; Onygenales; Ajellomycetaceae.